Long non-coding RNA from Haemorhous mexicanus (house finch), 6274 nucleotides. RefSeq lists it as uncharacterized. The record is from RefSeq and is a predicted model, not a curated record. Lineage: Eukaryota; Metazoa; Chordata; Aves; Passeriformes; Fringillidae. The transcript has 4 exons.
AAGCACCUGCCUCAGCUGCCAGCCUGCUCCUACAAACCCCACAGCUUGCACAGAGCAGCUGAGCUGAGCUGAUGCCAGGAAAGUGAAGGUCUUCUAAGACAAUGUUUAAACUUGUGUAUGCUCAGAUUUUGUAAUUACAGAUACAGAACAUCUCCACCUUCUCGAGCAGACUUUGUGAGGCUGAUGGUCUUGAGGAAUGUGCUUUGGACUACACUGACUUCCAAAACUAUACAAUCAACAUAGCUUUCUGCUUCUGGAAUUCAGGUUCCCAGAUCAGGAUGAUGCAUGGAAAAAGCAUGCAGAUAAAGCACGAUUUGCCCAAACAUGUCAUCAGAAACUGACUUCUUAAAGUGUGUCUCUGCUGUACAAGGACACGAUAUGUGCUUAAGCCUUUGGGCCUAUGAGAAAUAGACACGUGAUGCAAGUGUAUAUAUACAAUGAAUGGAGUUGGGACAAAUGUUUGAAGACUUAUUGCAACAAGUUGCUCACAAAUGAUCUACAGCAAGAGUUACUUCCAGAAUGGUUUCUGCACAUGUGUUUGGAAAAAAGAUAUUCAAGCAAAUCAAUCUGCUUGUGGACAAAUAAUGAAAAGAGAAAAGGAAAAAUUCUUCCAACAAAUAUGAAACUGCAAAUUAUUCACUCAGCUCAGCUGGCAACAACCAAUUUUUGUGGUAGUAGGAGCUCAUGGAGUAGGAGGUAACUGUGUGAAGAAUGAUUGGUUUGGUAUCUUAUAUUGCAAUUCUGGAAAGGGCUUCAACUUCUAAUUUAAAAGCCAUCUUCCUUCUUUUACCCAGUAAAGAAAACAAAAUAACAGUUGAUUUCUGGGAGCUGUUUUGGGCAGAUAGGAUCUAUUUUAUGUCCUCUAGACACUGACAACAGCUAGCUCAUAAGAAAGAGCAGUUAGUUAUCAGAAAAGAUCUCUCUUGCCAGGAAAAAAACCCCAAAGCCUGCCUAAGGAAGGAUAUUGCCAUCAAAAUCCUCUUUUCAUCUUCCCAGGAACAACACAUAAUGGGUCUAAACUUGGUGCAUCUUUGAGUUGUGGAGCCUUGUGUAAGCUGCACUUCCACAGCCCAUUUUUUGGUACGAACACUGAUUUACUUCCCUCUUGGAAGAAUACAAAGCACAUUUGGGACAUCUCUGAACUAAGAGCACCUUUUGCUUCUCCUUCCUGACUCCUGGGAUGAAGCCAGCCACCCUUUUGGUGAGAGGCUCUGGGAUGCUGCAGUGGGAUGCCAGCAGAAUUGUCUUCUUCUCCAAACAAAGUGACCAUAGCAUGCUCUGUUUAUGCCUGUGGAGUGGUGGAUGAGAGUUUAGCAUUCAACUCUUCGUAACGCCUUCCAUGUGUAUUCUUGAUUGAAUAUGUAACUCCUAAUUUAUUCCUGAGCAGGCACAUGCUCUCUUCCAAGGCAUAGCAGAUGCAAGGGAGUCCACUGCAUCCCUAAUGCUUUACUUCACAAAAACCUUAAAAUGCUAAAGCCAUAAAUAGGCAUUAUACCACAAUCUUUGGCUGAAUGAUCUCCAACAUUACUGCAGAUCUUAGUCAUAGUGAAAGCUUUUACAAGCUACUUUGAGCUAAUGGCAAAAUAGUUUUCCUUUAAAGCAGGGAUGUGUUCCUUUCUACAAAUCCUAAUUGCCAUGAUUCUAUUGUAAGUUCUGGGCUUAGUUACACUGAGCUUGAGUUAGCUUGUUAAAACUUAACCCUAACCAUUGACCAGAGAUUAAUUUUACCCUUUCUGUGGUUUUUGAGAGAAAGAUACUGGGACUGAGACUCUUUCAUGUCACCAAAGUCAGCAAUGGCAAAAAGGUGUAUUUCUUCAAGAAAUGUUCUAGGCAACCUCCUCAGCACCAGAGGGUUUUGCUGCAGAAUGUGAUAUUCAGGAGCCAUUUCUCCAGCCCACUAGCAUACAGGAUGAGGAUAUCUGCAUUCAGCUGAGCUAUGCCAAAGCUACUUUGACUUCCUGUCUCUUAUACCUUUCUUUCCAUGCUGUAAAUCCAUGUUAGUUUCAAGACUGCUUGAAAAGUCUGUGGCUGGCAAUGCCAGCCCAUGGCUGGUGAACAUCCUACCCACUGCUGGUGCUUUAGGAGCCCUUUCUGCAGCACCUGCCUCCUUGGGACAGGAGCUGGGGCAUUCAAUAGCUCAUCACCUCAUUGUCAGAGCACAGCUGAUAUGUUAGUGGACUGACUUCAACUAUUUCACUGCAGGAGAGCUUUAAUUCUGAAUAUUGUAAGAAUAUAGACAAAUUUCUCAGCCUGCUUCAGUCUGUGAAUUGCAGAUAUAUAUAUAGGUUGUUUGAUCCUGGAUACAAAACCCACCACUGCCCUCUGUCUUUACCUUCCCCAUUCCCUGCAAUUUGUGAACGUUUCCCUAGAAGGGGUAAGAAAACAUUCAGCUGCUGCAGAUCCUUCUAAACACACCUGCUUGUUUGUUUGUUUAUUUGUUUGUUUAAUUUGCUGCAUAUGAUUAACUCCACUGAGUUUCUGCCAGGCAGAAUUUGCAACUCAAAGUACCCCAUGAGUGUGCUGCAACACUGCCAGGAAUUGAAUACCAUCAGUCUUCAUAAUUGCUGUUUCCAAAGAUCAGGUAUAGCAGACAGGCUAUUUUGGGCUAUAAAAGGAAAUCAGAAAAUGAAAUUUUCUUUCACUGCUAGUUCCUCUCCUGGGAAUUUUAGUCCUUUUCUCUGUGCACAUGCUUUGGUUGUUGGUAUAUUGGUAAUGUGGGUCUCUCAGAGUAUCUGUCACUGGAGCCUGUUCUGAAGUGCUGCAAUGCCAGUGAACAUGGGAAAUCAUUCCCACAAGUACCAAUGUGCUGUUUGUUGAUAUAAUAUCAUAUAUUAGACCAAAACCAGAUCAGGAUAGCCUGAUUUACCCCAUGAUGCUGGUGACAGGUGAUUCAAAAGUAAGGUUCACAAAGUAAGUAAAGGUAUUUCCCAGCUACCUACCCUUCCUUUUCUAAUAGUGGUAAUCCAUUUGCAACUCUCAGUUUUGUAGAUUGCCUGUUACCUCCUGUGGAUGAUCAAAGUCUAGUCAUGAAAAUGCAGGCACUCUGGACUUGCAGUCCUGCCAAUGUCAGGGAUGUCUGGCCUUGCCAUCUAAAUCACCCCUAUCAUAUGGAUCUAAUGCAAGAACUUUUCAUGGCCUUUAAAUCUGAGAAGUUCCAAUUAUUGUUCUUCUAUCAUCAAUUCUUCUAUCAUCAGUUCUAUCAUUCCUCGUGAAUUAUGCAUUUUUCUUUUUUCUGGAAAAAGCUUUGCAUUAUUAGGAGUUCAAGAGAUUAGGUUUUGCUACAGCAACAUGCAGAUCUUGGAACUUGAGAACAAACCAUUAGCAUCAUAUGCACUUUUCUGUUGCCCCUAAUGGUAAUGAGAAGCAUUUUCUGGGCUAGAAAAUACACUCAUUAGUUCAUGACAGGGUGAUUCUAGGCCUGUAUGCCCUUGUUUGAUUAAAUGCUAAUCACAAGAGUCCUUUGAUAGAGUCAAAAAAUAAUUAUCCUUUGAUAUUUUAGUCAAUUGUAGUACUACUGAGAAGCACUCUUUUCCUGCCUAUAGAAAUAAAGAACCCAUUUAACCUUGGAAAAACAAGAUUCAUGCUAUUUUCUUCACAGAAGGAAAAGGAGUGUGCUUUUUUUGGGUACAGACCUAUUCAGUGAGAGACAUCUUAGUGUUCUGGGGUGAUUUUAUGAUGCUUGUAUCCCCAUUCGUCUAUUCAACCCAGAAAUAAGUUUUGCACCUUUAGGACUGGUUCCAAGAGUGAAGAGGGAAGAGAGUGAAGAGAGGAGACACACGGAGUUUGUUAUCACAAACUGCACUUGCUCCCCUGCAUCCUUCUCCUGCACUGUGUUGUCUGCGGCAAGGACAGAUAGCGGGAUAGAUGUCUCCUUUGAUUUUUGUAAGCCUUUAGUUAUCUGAGGCAGAGAAUUUCUCUGGACUGUUUUUUUCCGUUUUUUGUGGAACUGCUUAAACCUGCUCUGAACCGAAAACUCAGAAGAGCAGCAGCAGCUCACACCUGAGACCCACCGGACUGGGCCAGGGCUGCGGCAUUUCCAGUGCGGGAGGGACUGGUAACAGAAUGAGUUAGCAGAGCUACAGCCCACCAAGGAGGCUUUCUGAGAGUGUGUCAUCACUUCUAAGUGGCAAGAGGUUUUAUUGUUUAAUAUUGUUCAUUUUUUAUUCUGCUGGUGAAUGCUUUGCCUGUUAAACAUGUUUUUUCCACUUUCCUCCAAAGAAAUCUUUUCCGGAACCAGUUGGAGGAGGGGCCACUUGAAUCUGCUUUCCAGAGGAACGCCUUUGGAAGUUUUCUCCCAAAUUUGCACUAAUCCAAGACACUUAGUCAACAGGGGUCAGCUCUGGCACUGAGAGAAGACGAAAUAAUUUGAGACAGUAUGUGAAAAAAAAAACCCAGAUGGCUUUAACUGAAUUCAUAGAAAACAUAUUUUGUCUUUUAUCCAGCCAUCACGUGAUAAUCCUGACAUCCCAAACUGUUGUCACAGUCAUAUGCUCUCAUUCUCUUAGUCUUCCACUUUGCUUUGUCAUUUACAGGAUUCAUAUGCUUGACUGCAAGCAACCUGAUGCUGUUCACUAGUUACUUGGUUUGAUAUUAAAAUAUUAUUAAAAUUGAAAAAACAUUUAGAAAUUUGGACGACUGUGACCCAGUAAAAAUUCUCAGAGCACAGUGAAAGAUGUAAAAUCCUUAGAUUUACUUUGAAGAGGUCCUAUCCCCCUCUGUCUCUCCUUGUCCACCUUGGCCUGCAGCCACCCUUGUUGAUGCUCCUUCCUCUGCAGCUUUCUCAUGGAGGCUCCUUUCUUUUACAUGAUUUAUUGAGCUGUCUUCAUCCUCAUCCCUCUCUAGUCUUCCUUCAGAAACAGCUGAAGACCCAGCAAUUACCUGUGCUUCCUUGCUUUAUCACCAGCUCAAAGCCUUUAGAUUAUUGAUGGUAACAGCUGACCCCCAUCCUUUAAUCCCACAGUUUUCUCUGUAAAGCCUCUUGUCACAGCACUUCUUUCUCCUUGAGCCACUGUGGUUCCUCAAAAUUAGAGGAGCAACAGUGAACAGAUAACAGCUAUGAGGACACACAGCUCUCAGCCAGCAGCAUCCUGACCUACAGCAGUCCCUGAGUUCAGUAACCACUGAAACUGCAAAGUUAUGCCCAAAGGGUGGCAUACAGGUCCAUCCCUGUAUUUGCAGCAUCCACCAUUGAUGAUCCUGUGCUUGAUUCCAUUGAUGAUCUUGUGGUCUAUCAAGGAGACUUUGCAUCAGAGUAUGUGUCAGAAAAGUAGUUUUUCUCAGAAUAGGAAUCAAGAUCAGGAGGCAAAAACCCUCACUGCCUAAAUAGGGCUGAAAUCUGAACAAGAAGUGUCCGCUAAUAUAUCUGCCAGUUCUCUUCUGCUAGAGCUGUGCUGUUUGAACAAAGAAUACUCUGGUUUUGUUAUUCAUGUUUUCUUAUGUUGCCCCAUGCCCACAUGGCCCAUAUGCUGUGUAGGCACAAACAUGCAUAUGUUGUGCAGAACAUCCGCAGUGCUAAAUCAUGAUCCUCAUGUCCUGCUUUCCCAGCCUUCAACCAGAGGUUAUUUUUCACCACCAACCUAAAAGGGCUCAGAAGAAAGCUCUCUUUGGAUUAAAUAUUUAUCUAAGUUGACUUGUGUAUUCUCAGAGGCCCCACUAAUCUCAGACUUCACAGCAGUUUCUAAAAUAAAGUAAAAGCAAUAGAAUAAGAUGAAAUAACAUAACAAUAAAUGAAAUGAAAUAAAAUAAAUUAGUCUAAGUCACCAUUAGUUUUAUGACUGAGCUCUUCUGCCAUAUUCACAGGUCCCGCUUGGGAUCAGACCUGUGCUUCUCCAUCCUGUUUGGUUUGGGCCCAAGGCAAUGGCAAGACAGCAGUUUAUUUCAGCUGAGAAUUUCAUGCCAGGCUAUUCUGGGACUGGGUGAAACUUGUCCUCCGUAAUUACUUUACAAUCAGUGAAGAGCUCUUUCUAAGAGCAGCCUGAUGUGAUACAAAGCACGUUUACUUUAAAUAUAUGGGCUUGUACAGUGUAAUGGCAAGAAAGGACGAUGGCCUGGACAGUGCAGGGUGUUCACUUGAGAGACCACAAAAGUGCUAUGGCUGUGACAGAACGGGCAGAAAUAGAACAUUUAACCAGUCCUGAGGCUGCUAACAAGGGACCAAAGAAAUUCGUGGGAGAGCUGGAAAGUUUUUGAUGUGUAAUAACACAUCACUCUCCAGUGCUACACUGAAUUUUAUUCCAAAAAUAUAUGUACUUCAAUAAAUGAAAUAUCAACCUGU